RNAcentral lists this ribosomal RNA (253 nucleotides) under uncultured bacterium. RNAcentral's name for it is "partial 16S ribosomal RNA". It matches the Rfam family "Bacterial small subunit ribosomal RNA", at positions 524 to 776 of the family's 1533-position model. The record is from RNAcentral.
CACGUAGGGUGCAAGCGUUGUCCGGAAUUAUUGGGCGUAAAGGGCUCGUAGGCGGUCCGUCACGUCGGGAGUGAAAACUCGGGGCUCAACCCCGAGCCUGCUUUCGAUACGGGCGGACUAGAGGUAGGUAGGGGAGAACGGAAUUCCUGGUGUAGCGGUGGAAUGCGCAGAUAUCAGGAGGAACACCGGUGGCGAAGGCGGGUCUCUGGGCCGUACCUGACGCUGAGGAGCGAAAGCGUGGGGAGCGAACAGG